This 433-nucleotide ribosomal RNA is filed under the name uncultured bacterium. RNAcentral's name for it is "partial 16S ribosomal RNA". It matches the Rfam family "Bacterial small subunit ribosomal RNA", at positions 29 to 507 of the family's 1533-position model. The record is from RNAcentral.
AACGAACGCUGGCGGCAUGCCUAACACAUGCAAGUCGAACGAGACCUUCGGGUCUAGUGGCGCACGGGUGCGUAACGCGUGGGAACCUGCCCUUAGGUUCGGAAUAACUCCCCGAAAGGGGUGCUAAUACCGGAUAAUGUCUUCGGACCAAAGAUUUAUCGCCUUUGGAUGGGCCCGCGUUGGAUUAGCUAGUUGGUAGGGUAAAAGCCUACCAAGGCGACGAUCCAUAGCUGGUCUGAGAGGAUGAUCAGCCACACUGGGACUGAGACACGGCCCAGACUCCUACGGGAGGCAGCAGUGGGGAAUAUUGGACAAUGAGCGAAAGCCUGAUAAAGCAAUGCCGCGUGAGUGAUGAAGGCCUUAGGGUUGUAAAGCUCUUUUACCCGGGAUGAUAAUGACAGUACCGGGAGAAUAAGCUCCGGCUAACUCCGUG